AGGGGGCGGCAGGGAGACGUCCCUGCCGUUGCUCCACCACCGUGAGAUCAUCCGGGAGCCACCCUUCAAUGAUGUUUCGCUCCAUUAAUCCCGGAACAUCUCACGGUGGUGGAGCA
This is a long non-coding RNA of Thalassophryne amazonica, 116 nucleotides long. RefSeq lists it as uncharacterized. The transcript has 3 exons. The record is from RefSeq and is a predicted model, not a curated record. NCBI's taxonomy places the organism in Eukaryota, Metazoa, Chordata, Actinopteri, Batrachoidiformes, Batrachoididae.